ACAAAGAGUGUUUAAACCACUCUUUGCCUUGCUUCUGCUUCUAGACAGAAGAUUAAUGAUACCGGCAGACCUAGGAAACAUCGUGAACUAGAUAAAGUUGAUGUUUAGUGCCCUUUGUAUCAUCAUUACUCCACCACAUCUCUACUUUCUGUCACUCUUUCCAUCCCUAACUGAUUCCUCAACCUCACCAUCUCCCUCUCAAAUCUUCAGAACUACAGCAGUAAAUAUUAACUCACAUCUACCAGGUCAAUUCACAGUGGAUGUGCACCACCUACCAGUUCAUUCCACACGUGUUGAGAGUCUUUGAGAAUGAAAUGGUGAAAACUUAAACAACAGCAGAAUAUGAUCGUGCUCAGACCAAUAAUGGAGUAAUUUUUGCAAGGAAAGAUUCAUUCCUUGAUUAGAAAAAAAUGCCAUCUUUGAGUUAAAAGUGGCCACUCCCCAGAGGUCAGAAGUUUCUCUUCUACAAGAAGAGGCAAUGUUGCAUCAUACAACCACGGGUGAAAUUUGAACUUGGAUCCUCAAUCACAAAAGGAGAGGAAGGCAUAUUAAAAAUGUUAGCCUAGCGUUGCCAGUUCUAUUGGAUACUAGAAUCCUCAUCUGCCCCUCCAGAUGGACGCUCUAUUUUAGAGAAGCACAUGGACUGGAAGGAAUAAUGGAAUUGACUGGAGGAACCAGUGAGAUGGAUCUGAGAGAAAACCAACCUGUAAUGCACCAAGCAGACUGCAGGGCAUUAUCUCAAAGCUUCACACAUCUGUAAGAAAAGACCAGGGAAACCCAAACGUACUACAGUUACAUUAAGAGAACAUCCCUUCCUCUCCUGGGUUAAUCUCAAGAGUUUUCAUCCAUUGCAAGAAGCAUAUUUUGGGAAAGCCUGAAUGAGAAGAUAAUGUUUCUGGAACACCUAAAACGUGUACAGUGCAGAUAUCUGAAGGAAGAUUGUUCCAGGCAGUGGGAACAGCAGCAUCAGCAAAGGCUCUGAGAUGGAAGCAUGGCUGGCAUUUCAAGGAAGGCUUUGGCUAUAGAACAGAAUGAUAGAGGGACAGUAAAAGGUUGGAAGAUGAAGAGGAACCAUGAAGAAAAGAAGCAUUCCAUGAAAGCGGAAAAAAAAUCAAGGGAAUGAGAUGCUCUGGAAGCCCAUUGAAAAGAUCCUGUUUUCUGUACCUGCCUCUAGCAUGACUCCAUCAAAGGUUCUCCAGCACCGUAUGAAGACAUGAUAGUCAGGUCAAAACCCAUUAUACUGAUGUCCUCUCCCAUGGAAUACAGAAGAAAACCCAAAUCUGGAGUCAGUUCUGGGUGCAAAUCAUCUGCUGAUACUUAUCAGAUGAAACAACAUCUUUGAGAGAUGUACUCUUCAGGAUGGGUCUGUCCAAAUGCUAGAAGAUGAGAAUUCUCAACUGUGAUAUAACAGAAGAUAAACUUCCUUACUCAUUAAAGCGAGCAAAACUCACUCUCCCUGAUUUCUGUGAGUUGUAUAUUAAUGUGGUCUACAGUAGCCUGACUGUGGUAGUAGCCUGAAGAUUUGAGGGCUGUUUAUAUGAUGAAGUUCAAAUAAUUCUCUAUAUAUGUCAACAUUUUGUGUUUCAAAUGAAAAAUUACUAUAGGAAAUUGAUAAGAAAUGAUGAAAUUUUAAAGUACUAAAUAGUUAAUCAAUUAUGUAACCUCAAAUAUCUAUUAUUGUCCAAAAGGAAAUAAUUGGCACGUGCCCUAGUUCCUUGGAAUCCCCAUGGGUAACACAAAGACUUGCCAGAGUGAGAGUUCAAAAACGCUUACAUUGGCUGGGACCUAAGAAGGAAUUUCUAGGUAAGGCAAUAAUGCUUUGGAAAAGAAGUCCUAAACAUCAAAUUCAAGGAGCAGAGCAAGAGUGGGUGCCAAAGGGAAAAGUCAGCAAUUUAGAGCAGUUCUGUCCUGAUCAUCAUCAGGUUGGGAGGAAAAGCUUGCAUUGGUGUUUUAAGGCCCCAGAUUUGACUAUCAAACAUUUUUUUGACAGUCUAGCCAACCAGGGAUAUAGCUCCCAAGGGCCUUUAGCUGAUACUGACUCAAGUCACGCAUUUCCUCAGCUACAUGGUACGGGGAAAGGGGAAAUGACAAGAGUCACAGGCAUGAUUUCUGAGGGUCUUUCUAAUGCCUCUCAAAUGGAUUCUGCUGCAUAUUCUCAUAAGCCAACGUGAAGAAGAGUCUGUGUGUACAGGAAACACAUAACCCUCCACCUAUAUUACAAGGCAGGUUCCAGAAACAAAAAGAAUCUACUUAGGCUUGGAAUCCUCUGCCUCAGAUGACUCAGGCAGAACUAGUCCAUGGUAACAUGAUACAUAUCAUCAUAAAAGUAGGCUUCAGUUAAGACAUAACAAGUUAUAUCUCUUUAGUACAAUAAUUUCAGAGUUAAUAAUUUGCAAAGUAUAGAAACAAAGUCAUGUUCUUCAAAUAAUACUGGACUAUGUGGUUCAAGUAGAAAAUAAUAUUCAUUCUGUUGAGUUGUGCUGGCUUAUGGGUAACUUAGGAGGAAGCCUACAAUCUUUACCUUUGGUGAAUUGAACUACAAUAAAGGCAUCCACCACCUUGCUGCCAUUGUUAGGACCAGAAUCCCCUACCCACAUUUCAGGACCAGCAAAACAUGAGUAAAGGAGAGCUAUCAUUAGCUUUCCAAGGCAUGAAGUUUUACAACACUGGAGGACAGGCCAAGGGCCAGGACUGCUUUCUCAUAUUGGGAUGUCUGGAGUUCCAUGAGGGAGAGGAUUGGAGGCACCAGGUAUUGGGAACUUUAAGAUAGACGAAAGGAGGUAGACUGUGGGAAGUGAACAAAAAGAAAAAGUGAAAGUUAGGUGGCACCCACUUACAAAAGAACUGCUCAACCUCUGACAGAGUUCAGCGUGCAGUUCUGAGAGGUUGGGGAAAUUCCUCGGAGAGUUUCCUCUCCCUGAUUACCAGGCUGAGGAGGUAUUGACAACCCCACCGUGAACCACUCAGUGAAGACAGACGCAAACAGGCAGACAACUCCUCUAGCACAAGAUUCUUAAAGAUAAUUUUCUGUAAAUUUUCUCCCUCCCAGGACAGCGGUGGAUACUGGUUUCAGAAUAACAUAUAGAGUCCUUUACCACACUUGAGUGUAUCUAUUUGUAGAUUCUUCUGCCUGGGCAAAGCAGACAUUAGGGCAGGCUUUUUGCAUGUUUCUCUUAAGUAAUACAGCUUUUGCCAAGGCAAUGUAGACCUGAAAUAGCAAUUUGGCACAUGUCAGGAUGAGCACAUGUGUGGGGCUUAGGAAAGAGAAGGCAGAACUAGGUUUCCUAACAUCUAGUACUCAAAUGCGACAACCCCUUUAGGAGAGAGAUUAGAUUUUCUACGUGGAAGUGUGAUUUGAGCCUUUUUAGCUCACUACUACAUUGCUUCAAUUUAUUCUUGUGAUAUAGUAAUACCCAGGAAGCGUUGCUGCUCUAGUAAAGGCAUAGUCUCUGUUUUUUAUGAAGUUUAGUAACCACAGGAGCUUAGUGUCACUGCACACAAAACCAAGAAUGAAAUAAAUGUCAUCUGAGUGUUUUCUGUGUAUAUUUAAAUACCGUUGAUGGAUCUACUAGAACACUAUUUUACAAAAUAUUUUAAUACAUGUUUUAAAAUAUGCAAAACUUUAACUAACAGAAUCUGAGCAGGAAAAGAAUAUCCAGGGAAAUGCAUAGGAGGAAGUUAUAAAAAUUUCAGUGAAGUUUGCAUGUAUGUUUAACUUUCAUAUAAUAAAUAUUACGAGAUUGACUUUAGUUUCUUUGAAUCUGAAUGAAUCAGAAUAUUCCAUUCCUUUCUUUCUCUAAUCUUGUUAUAGGUUAAGUGAAAAUAAAGAAACCCUUAGUUAGUGCUUUUUAGCACAUUGAUAAUGCUCAACUGUUUUUCUCAAAUUUUAUUCCUAACAUCCAUCCACUCACCCCACCGUGGUCCUUACCUGCAUAUGCCAAUUCCUAGUACAUCAGUAGAAUAGUUCUCAACAGAUAGUUGAUUAUACCCACUGCUCUCCAUCCCAAAUACUGUACUGUUAUUCUUUUCACCUAUUGGUGAGGUUCAGAGCACUGCCUUUAAUCUCUCUGUGCUAUACCUAAGCAUGAAACAAGCAUGGAUACUAACUAAAGUUGUGAAUCUAACCCUAAAGGAAGGAGACAUGGAAGGCGAAGAGGAGCUCUCAGGAAAUCAAAAGCUAGAGGGAAGUUUGCUUUGGACAAGAGUAUUAGCAAGGGGCUUACCUCCCCUACUCUCAAGAGCACAUGUACAAAAGGGCAUUCUCUGAGACUUCUCCAUUUCCCAUUUUCUUGAGAAGCUCUGAACUGAAUGUCACAAAACUUUGUAAUGGUCUUACGAUCCUGCAGACCUGAUUUCUGCAAGUUGCCAAUCCAUUUUCUCCUUUUGAGAAGGAUGCCUCAGGAAGUUAUUUUCACUCUUAUAUUUUUCUUGGAACAAAAAGAAUUAGCUCACUGUUAAGGACAAAAUCAUUAAGUGUUCCACUCUCCUCUGUGUAAUACAUAACCUAAGGAAAGAACAAAUUCUUGCCCUCAAGGAUCCUACAAUCUCUGUUAAAACACUGGAUAUGCAUUAGCAUUUUAAUAGUGCAAUAAUUCUGUGAUGCUGUUGGAAAUGCUUUACUUAAGUGGGCACAACAGCUACAUUUUAUUCUAAUGAAAAUUCAUUGGCAAUACUGGUUAGCAUUUGCCAGUGGGAAGUGGCUAUUAACCUUGAUGUAUGUGUGUACACCCACAUAUAGUGGCCGUGUCUCUACCAGGAGUACAUUUUCUAAGGUACAAACGGGGGUGGAGGGAGUGAGUGAGGAGAGACCAUCUUCAUGCUCUAUUUACUGUAUUUGGUAUGUUUGAAACUAGAGGAGGGUGGAGAGGUGGUCCCAGACCUCAGGUAUAGGUGAAGGAUCAAACUUGUCUGAUCAGUAACAACUCUUCUUAAAUCUCUUCCUUUUGAUAUCAGAAAAAAGAAAAUGGUCCUGUUCUUUAGUUUUCAAGUUAUUGAUGGUCAUCUACUAUCUGGUAAUUGUUUUUAAUCAUCCAGAUGCAUGGCAUAAAAGCACUAACCCCCCAUAAAAAGCACUAAUAUUGUUUUUUGAUAAUCAUAAUAAUGCUAGUACUAAUAAUAAUGGCUACAAUUUAUAGGGCUGUUAAAAAGGCGCUUUCCAUAUAAGAGUCCAUUUAAUUCUCACCACAACUUUAAGGUAAAUAUUAAUAUUGCCCAAGAUUUCACAAUAUGUGCCAGUGGGUCCGAUAUUCUUGCUUAGCUUUGCUUGCUCAAACUCAGUAUUUCUGCUCUCUGCAGUUUCUCAUAAGAUUAACAGUGGUCCUAAUAUCACUAGAAUAGACAGUCUGUCAUAUACACAGAGCCACACAUUUAUGCCUAUAUAUAAGAACCUCAGGAAUAAAAGUGCCAUUAAAUCAUAAAAAGCCCUCACAGCCACAACAUCUCUAAAAACAUUUUUAUUACACACAAACAUUUGAAAAUCAACAUUACCAAUACUGUACAGAUAUAUCAAACCAGAAGUAAUAGAAGAUUCCACUUUCAGAGACGCGGAUUCUGAGACUUCAUGCAUCUACAAUUUAUUCCCGAUUUAGAAACAGUGACAGCAUGAAGGAAGGCUUGUCCAUUUUGGAAUACCAUAUCCUAUUGCUAGCCAAACCUUCCAACCCCUUGACACUACCUUCAGUUUCAAUGAUGGAGUGCAUUUUGUUUGUUGUUUCUUGCUUGUCUUUCUUAUUUUCACUUGCUUUGAUGUCUCUAAUCCUACUGAUCCACGCAGGUGACCAAACUUUCAUCCGUAAUCUGCAGCAUUCAAAUUAAAGGAAUGGUUUAUAGAUUCUAGGAUUUUCUGAGCACCUCAGAUAAAUCCUUCCUGGGCCCCUCAUGAACGGAUAAAACCAGAAGCAGAGGAUGAAGUUAAAUUGAUCCCAAUCAAUGCACCACAAAGCAUCAAAUUGCAUUCACUGCCAGUCAACAAGCAAAUAAAGAUCUGUUCCUCCCCAUUUUAAAAAUAAAUCUUGUUUUUAUUACGUUUUACUUUUUUUCCUACUGCCAGUUGAUCACAAGUUGGUUUUUUCUAGCAGGUAAAGAUUCACGGGAGUAAUUCGUCCUUCAUUAGGUGAUAAACAGCUUUUAAAUUUCCACAGAAUUCAGUUUCUUAUUGCUCCCUUCAACCGAACACUUCUGAAACGCUUAUGCUCUUGUGUUACAUUAAGAACAAAUAUAAUCCUUUUUUCAUAGCAAAAUUCUAUAUGUCUUUAAAGAAAACAGAUAGAAUGGAAAUAAGUGCACUUUUUCCCAGUCACAUUAAACAGAAAGGUUAAGCUCCCACUGACAGGAAAGAUGUAUUUGCAAGUGAUUAGUUAUAUUUCUAUCAUAGUGCUUGUCUGUGUUCUUCCUUUGAUGUUUAAACAAAGCUCUUGAACACGCUGGGUUGUAUGCUCUGAUGUUGAUUUAUAGGUAGAACUGAAUUCCAAACACUAAGCCAGUAGGUAGGCUUUAAUAAAAGGCACAGACUUUCCCCCUGCUAGUUAGUGUGUGACUAAGCGAUAUUGUUCUAGGGCCCCAAUCUGUCAAGACAGGUGUACAAUGAGGGGGUCCUUCAGGCUCAAAGACUCGAGCUCUCCACAGAGGGCCACAUUCUACUCUACAAGACUGCUGGGUUUUAAACCCUUAGAAGAAAAAUAAUCCGUGUUUAAAAGAAAAAGGAAAUUUUUUUGUUCAACAAUGACACACCUUCAUUUAGAAGGGAGGGAGAAGCUGAGGGUGAUCAGGCGGUCAGAUGGCAGAGGAGAUUCACGCCAGGCAGUGCCAGUCCUAAAACAAGCACAUCAGAAGAAUGGUAGAGCAUCUUCCACAGCCUCAUCCAUGCCUAACUGGCUGACAUCUCUCAGUGUGCUGGAGGGUGGGGAUCCAGACAGCAUCAUGGGCAGUUCAAUGAAGCUAUCUGCUUGAGCUGCAAAAGGAGGAAAAAUUAAUGUAAUACAGAUAUUUGGUUAAAAUAACAGAGGCUUCCCCAUCUGGCCAAGCCCAGGGAGAUGUGAAUUACUGCAGUCAGAAAAUGAGGGCAUGUGUAACACAGCCGUCUACCAACUUCAUAUUGUCAACACACAUGAAAUGUCUAGGACCACGCUAUCAUUUGAAGAAAGAGCAGCUUACUAUGCAGUAUUGCCAGAAAUGCUUCAUUUUCACCUGGAUAUUUUGCAAUGCAUUUUCCAAGUAAUAAAUUGCAAUCUCUACUUUACAUCCAGUUUAUUUUAGGACUUUCUAGGUGCAAGCCCAGAAAUGUAAUGCAUGUAAGCUCUUUAAGGCCAGAGAAUAGAUUUUACAGACAAACAGGCAAACAAUCUAAUAACAGUAGCAUGUAUUGCUUUUGUAAAAGGAAUAAAUGCAUAUGUUGUAUAAAAUAUGUAAUAAAUAGAAAAUUUACAAACAAUGAUACCACCAGCUAAAGUUAAUUACUUUUGCCUUCCCUUCCAAACCUUUUUAUAUCAUUUGC
This is a long non-coding RNA of Diceros bicornis minor, 7492 nucleotides long. RefSeq lists it as uncharacterized. Lineage: Eukaryota; Metazoa; Chordata; Mammalia; Perissodactyla; Rhinocerotidae. The transcript has 10 exons. The record is from RefSeq and is a predicted model, not a curated record.